This 1214-nucleotide non-coding RNA is filed under the name Marchantia polymorpha subsp. ruderalis. RNAcentral describes it as "Bacterial large subunit ribosomal RNA". It matches the Rfam family "Bacterial large subunit ribosomal RNA", at positions 573 to 1301 of the family's 2925-position model. The record is from Rfam by way of RNAcentral. Lineage: Eukaryota; Viridiplantae; Streptophyta; Marchantiopsida; Marchantiales; Marchantiaceae.
GUUAGUGCCUAGUAUAUAGGUAAUAACGUACCUCUUGCAUAAUGGGUCAGCUAGUUAGUAGGUAGUGCGAGACAAGACGUCUUAGCUAAGACAAUUCAUUUACGGCUCGAUCAGCCCAUUAUAUAGACUAAGGCGUGGUCCUUUUAUACUAUAUUAUACUAGGGGCAGCCUAGUAAUACAUUUAUUCAGUAUUAGUUGGACCCUAGACCUGACCUAGUAUAGUGGUAAUUAGGUACUAUAAAGACAGCGGGUGCAUUGCGCAUACUACAACAUUCUGGCUAUAUUACAGGGUAUAUACUGAAGGUAACACAGUCUAUCGCCGACCUCCCAACUAUAUAAUAAAAUAUAUAUAUUAAGAGGCACAAUGUACUAGAGAGAGAGUAGUACUACUUACUAGACCCGAAGAUAGGUGAGCUAGGCUUGGCCAGGCAAAUAAUGGCCGAACAGGUGAAUGUUGCAAUAUUCUCUGACGAGCUGAGUCUAGUAGUGAAAUGCUAAACUAACCUAGUGUAUAGCUGGUACUCUGCGAAAUAUAUUUUAGUAUAGGACUAUUAGCCUGUUAUAUAUAGGUACAGCACUGGUCCACAUAUUUCUGUCUAUUUCUACUAGUUCGCUAGUAUAUUUAUUACAAAAUAGAAUUAGGGAAAAUAUGUUUCUACUAUUGUGGACUAACCUCGGAAAUAUAUAUAAUAAUAAUAGUACCCAGUCUAUAUAUGAUAAGGUAUAUAGACAAGAGGGAAACAGCCCAGAGUACUGACUAAGGUCCCAAAAUACAGUUUAGUGAAAUUAAGAGAGUCUUGCCCCUAAUACAGCCAUGGAGUAGGCCUGGAAAUAGCCACCUCUUAAAGACAGUGUAACAAUUCAGUGGCCUAACAGUCUAUUAGACUAGUCUACCUAUUUCCAUUAUUUGUCUUUUACUAGGCAACUACUACAAUUAGUUAGAGAGGGGCAGGGCAUCUAAGAUACACGGGUCUAGACUGUAUACCUACGUAGUACCUACCUACAAUUCUUUCAUUAUGUAUUUGAUUUGGUAGUGUACGUAUAUAGCAAUAUUGCCAUAUAUGUACCUAUAUACUACCUUAAUGUAACAAUAUAUUAUUAUAUAUGUACAAAGAAAAUAGUAUAAAUAAUUGGGUAAGGGUAGCAGAGCAUUCGGCCUACAAAUGAAUAUGUAUUAUUAAUAUAUAGGAUGUAGCCGAGGUGAAAAUGCUGAC